Molecule: non-coding RNA, 97 nt
Organism: Mycena latifolia
Lineage: Eukaryota; Fungi; Basidiomycota; Agaricomycetes; Agaricales; Mycenaceae
Source: the annotation of a GenBank genome assembly
GACCCAGUGGCGAAGUGGUAUCGCGCCCGCUUACUGUGUUUGGUGUCGAAACAACAAUAUUCUGCGGAGGACGCCCGUUCGAUUCGGGUCUGGGUCA